Long non-coding RNA from Magallana angulata, 157 nucleotides. RefSeq lists it as uncharacterized. NCBI's taxonomy places the organism in Eukaryota, Metazoa, Mollusca, Bivalvia, Ostreida, Ostreidae. The transcript has 3 exons. The record is from RefSeq and is a predicted model, not a curated record.
GGUGGAAAGAGUUUACCAAAGAUGUCCACUAUGCAGAGUGAUGAUUCCUCUAAAUGUGGUGGAAAGAGUUUACCAAAAAUAUCCACUAUGCAGAGUGAUGAUUCCUCUAAAUGUGGUGGAAAGAGUUUACCAAAGAUAUCCACUAUGCAGAGUGAUG